RNA transcript from Mauremys reevesii (Reeves's turtle), 877 nucleotides. It is a transcript of the gene named syntaxin-binding protein 2-like, with no coding region annotated. NCBI's taxonomy places the organism in Eukaryota, Metazoa, Chordata, Testudines, Geoemydidae. The transcript is spliced from 7 exons. The record is from RefSeq and is a predicted model, not a curated record.
UUGUUGUUUACUGUUAUCAUGGCCCAGUCCUAACUGGAUCCAACCGGUUUUUCCUCCUAUUGGCCACUCCAAGGACAAUGUCACCUCAGGCUGUUUUCCACCCUUGCUAGGACUGUACCAUAUUUUCCCGCCACUAAAGACAGGAAGGGACUGAGCUCCCAGCCGAGUGGCGCAGUCCAUCCCAGUGACUGUGUGCGUGGCUCAGGCCUGCCCAGCACGUUCUGCCCGAAGUGACGAGCGAGGGAAGGAGAUUCCAUCGAACCCGCUCCAGCUCCUGGACUCGAGUGGACGUGACAGGAGGUGAAGAUGGCUCCAUCCGGGUUGAAGGCAGUGGUGCGUGAGAAGAUCUUCAGCGUUGUCUUUCGCAGCGUGAAGAAGGAAGGAGAAUGGAAGGUGCUGAUCAUGGACCACCCGAGCACGCGCAUCCUCUCGUCGUGCUGCAAGAUGUCCGACAUCGUGGACGAAGGCAUCACACCUGUGGAAGAUAUUGAUAAGUGCCGGGAGCCAAUCCCCAGCCUGGAGGCCAUCUACCUGCUCAGCCCUGUGGAGAAGCUGGUGUCCAGCCCAAACUCAGACGCAGCUCGUCUCAUUCUGCCUUCUUCUGUUCACUUUUUUGGUUUGAACUUGGUACAGGGCUCUUCUUCCUCUACUAUAAUCCACCAUUACAGUGCACUGUAAAACAGCCACAGCGUCCCACCCCAGAGGUGGCUACCCUUCAGCAGUCAACGAGGCACCUCGCAGAUAUCUAGCUAGAAGCUGCUGAAAGCUGAAUUCACUUUGGGCCAAUGAUGCACCAGCACUGGGGCUCCAGUACUAUGAGCUGAAAUCACUAAAAGAGCUGAACUUACUGAGCUGAGUGCUGUGUUAACUAGUGGGG